RNAcentral lists this transfer RNA (71 nucleotides) under Dryophytes gratiosus (barking treefrog). Its description in RNAcentral is "tRNA-Ile". It matches the Rfam family "tRNA". Rfam says of the family: Transfer RNA (tRNA) molecules are approximately 80 nucleotides in length. The record is from RNAcentral. Lineage: Eukaryota; Metazoa; Chordata; Amphibia; Anura; Hylidae.
GGAAGCGUGCCCGAAAGAUAGGGAUCUCCUUGAUAGGGAGGACAAUAGGGGUUCAAACCCCCUCUCUUCCU